Arachis ipaensis is the source of this 1126-nucleotide non-coding RNA. The record is from RefSeq and is a predicted model, not a curated record. Lineage: Eukaryota; Viridiplantae; Streptophyta; Magnoliopsida; Fabales; Fabaceae.
CCUAACCCUGGAAGAGCGCCUCCCAUUACCCUCGCACUUCGUCCUGAACCCUUCGCCCUUCGCCCUUAGCCUUCGUCACUCGAAACCGCUCAUCGAAUCCGCUUAUCGCACUGUUAAUCUUCGUCACUCGCCCUUAUCCCUUCACCCUUCUUCAUCUUGUUAAUCUUCAUCUUCGUCUUCCGCUCAUCGAAUCCGCUCAUCGCACUGUCUCCUACCUCGGUGACCUUAUGGCCUCCUUCAAUUCAAAGAUCUCAAUGCAGAGAAGAGCCCUUUUCAGUGGACUUAUGCGACUCAGGUUUCUUAUGCCAUUUCUUGAAGAAUGUCACAAAACGACCGCCCGGAGGCGCCGUCCCCGGCGACAGCGGCAAACGGCUCCGCGGCGGUGAAGGAGGAGAAUCCAGCUGCGUGGGCGUUGGUUUCUUCGAGCAAGGCUGAGGCUGAAUCCGAACAAGGAGCACAAAGCGGAGGAGUACGAAGACUUGCAAUUGAUGUACUGCCCAGCGGUUUUCACCGAGCUGGAGAGGUACCUUCCACCGAACAUGCUCAAUGUGCGACGAACACAAGGUAUAUGCCCCGCGCAGCGUAGACCAGAGUAUGGUGCCUCUUUCUUUCUUUCUUUCUUUCUUUCUUUCUUUUAAGUUUUUUUAUUUUUCAGUUAAUUUUCAGUUGAGGCUGGUAAAUUGCAGAAUAGUAAACCUUAGGAUUCCUUACAACGAACAGAUUUCUCCAACUGAAAUUUGCAGUGCGCUUGGAUCUAAUCAACUUCUUCCGAGAAUUUAUAUCGCUUUUGUGUUGUUGGUCGGAAUUCUUCUGUUUAGUUCUCUUUUUGUGAACGUGUCUUUAAUCUGGUCGUGUUUGGAAGCCCCUUCUUUCACUGCAUUAGUAGCCGGUUUGCCUCUUGUUCCAGCAGUUUGCCACAUCAAUGGAAGAUUUGGAACCCUUACGACUGUUCCAAUACACCAUAUGAGCUGCUCAUGUUUAUUCGGAAGCUAGGAGGGUGCAUGCUUUCAAUGACGUUAUGUCAUCAAAUCUAAGGUUUAGUCACACAAAAUUCUAAAUCAACUGGAUAUGGGUUGCGGGGUCAGUAUGGGUGGUGGUCAACUGGAUAUAUUCUAAGAUCUAUAUA